Oryctolagus cuniculus (rabbit) is the source of this 3130-nucleotide non-coding RNA. Lineage: Eukaryota; Metazoa; Chordata; Mammalia; Lagomorpha; Leporidae. The record is from RefSeq and is a predicted model, not a curated record.
GAAGGCUGCAAGGAGACAGCCUGGGCUGGGCUCGCUGUGACAGCUGGGCCUCAUGCCUGCCAUUCCCCCCGGCAGGGUCAUCCUCUCAAUAUAGGGUGCUGCUGGCAUGCCCAGGGAGCGAGGCCUCCGGCUGUCCUCCUGCAUUAGGGCAAGGCCAGCGGGGACGAGCUGGGGCAGGCGUCAGCUUGCUUCCUCUCCUUGCAUGGCCAGGGCCUGAGCCUGCCUUCUGAUUUGUGUGUAUUAUUAGGUCCCAGGGACUCCUGCUGCCUGGGUGAACCUCAGAGGGUGGGGCCAGAGGCCCACCCCAGUCUGUGGCGGGCUCCUUUCCGAACCUGAGAUUAACCAGGGUCCUCCAACCCCCUUGGAAAGACACCAGAGCCAGCGCUUCCUCCAGGCAAAUGAAGAAGCCACCUUUUGGUGCACGGCUGGGACCUUGGCCAGGCCCUGGCAGUGGAGCUGGCUGGAUUUUACUGCUCCUCACUCUGAUUUGAAUACCUGUGUGAAAAGCUGAGCACCACUGGAGAAUUCCUAAGAAACUGCGCACGCGGAGCUGGACGCACACAGCCUUGCGGGAUCCAGGGUCCGCGAGGGCAUUCGUGCACGGCUGCUGUCUUCAGCCAACUGCCAGUUUUUCUCAAAGCAGGCGCCCCACAACCCAACCUCAUUUGCAUCCCCUCACCACCUUCGGCCCCCAACUCCUGCCUCAGGAGGGCAGGGGCUCUGUGACCCAGGGGCCUGAUCUUCCACAGAGUGAAUAGCGGAAACAGGCGUAGCGAUCACCUCUGGGGUCUCUCUGCUCUGACCCCUGAAGUCCUGGACGAUUGGCUGGCGUCUCUCACCUCACGGAGCCGCUGCACCAACGUGGAUUGGGUACAAGAGUCAGGUUGGCACGCCAGCAGGAGCCUCCACAGAUAGAAGUCUUUGGUGAUCCUGCAGAAAACCAGCAUCCAGGGAUCCACAGUGCUACAAUGGGAUGGCAGCUUAGAACUGGUAAGACAGCACUUGCCUUUCCAUCAUCUCAAACUCUGAUGUAGAGACUGCUGUUCUCAUUUCACAAAUAACAGUCUUUUUUUUUCCUUUUUUCUUUCUUUUUUGAGAGCUUGAUGUCUGGCAGAGUUUGUGCUAGGCUCCUUCUCCGGAAUGGCAGCUGAAUCCUGGUCCUCUUCCUCCCCCACCCUCCAGCAGCUGGGGCAGUUUGCCCAAACUGCUUCACUUCAUCUGUGCCUCCAUUUCCUUCUCUGUAGCAGAGAAUAAUAGUGUUGCUGUCCUUCAAUUGCUCCAAGCAGGACAGGAGAUGGUGUUCAUAAGGUCCUUACAAUGGUGCCAAGCACACCUGAGGCCCCCACGGCAUCCCCUGGACACAGGUAUUUGUAGCUGGCUCUUAGGGGUCACUUGUCUUCACACAGAUAGUAACUUGAAUUGGAUUUGCUUGAGUCGUGUGUAAUAAUUGAUUGUUGGGCAACUGAUUUUCAGCAAGACCACUCAAUGCAAAGAGAACAGUCUUUCAACAGUUUUGGGAAAACUGGAUAUUCACAUGCAAAGAGAAGAGAGUGUCCUACCUUACUCCAUAUACAAAAAUAAACUCAAAUUAGCUCAUAAGCCUAAAUGUAAGAGGUAAAACUAUGAAACCUUAAAAAAUUUAUUUAUUUGAAAGAAUUACAUACACACACACACACAGAGAGAGAGAGAGAGAGAGAUCAUCCAUCUACUGGUUCACUCCCCAAAUGGUCACAACAGGUGAGUGCAGGGGCCUGAGCACUUGGGCCAUCUUCCACUGCUUUCCCAGGUGCAUUCAACCAGAAGCUAGAUCAAGAAUGGAGCAGCUGGGACUCAAACAGAGACCCUGUGGGCUUUAUCCGCUAUGCCACCACACCAGUCCGCUGUUAUGUUUGUUUUUUUUUUUUUUUUUUUUUUUUUUUUUCUAAGAGACCCAGAGUUGGGGCCAGCAUUGUGGUGUAGUGGGUUAAGCCAUGUUCUGAGGUUCUGGCAUCCCAUAUGGACACCAGUUCAAGUCCCGGCUGCUGCACUUCUAAUCCAGCUCCCUGCUUAUGUGCCUGGCAAAGCAAUGGAAGACGGCCCAAGUCUUUGGGUCCCUGCACCUACAUGGGAGACCUGGAGGAAGCCCCUGGCUCCUGGCUUCAGACCAGCCCAGCUCUGGCAGUUGCAACCAUUUGGAGAGUGAAACAGGAUGGAAGACCUCUCUCUCUCUCUCUCUCUCUCUCUCUCUCUCUCCCCAUCUCUCCCUCUUCCUCUCUGUAAACUCUGUCUUUCAAAUAAAUAGAUCUUUUAAACAACAGCAAAUAUUUCUGACCUUACAUUACGCAAUGUUUUUUUCAGAGACGACACCAAAAGCAUGAGUAGCAAAAAAAAAAAAAAAAAGAUAAAUUUGACCUCAUCAAAAUUAAAAAGUUUUGGGCUCCAAAAAGGAGACCAUGAAGAAAAUGAACAGGCAAUCCACAAAACUGAAGAAAAUAUUUACAAAUCAGGGCCGGCAUUGUGGUGUAAUGGGUUCAGGUACCACCUGCAGCACCGGCAUCCCAUGUGGGUGCUGUUUCCAGUGCCAGCUUCUCCACUGCCCAUCCAGCUCCCUGCUAAUGUGCCCAGGAAAGCAGCAGAGGAUGGCCCCAAGUACCUGGGACCCUGCACCCAUGUGGGAGACCUGGAAGAAUCUCCUGGCUCCUGGCUCCAGGCUUCAGCCUAGGCUAACCCUGGCCAUUGGCAGAUGGAAGAUUUCUCUGUGUCUCUCCUUCUCUCUUUGUAACUCUACCUUUCAAAUAAAUAAAUCUUUUUUUUUUUUUUUUUUUGACAGGCAGAGUGGACAGUGAGAGAGAGACAGAGAGAAAGGUCUUCCUUUUGCCGUUGGUUCACCCUCCAAUGGCCGCCGCGGCCGGUGCGCUGCGGCCGGCGCACCGCGCUGAUCCGAUGGCAGGAGCCAGGAGCCAGGUGCUUUUCCUGGUCUCCCAUGGGGUGCAGGGCCCAAGCACUUGGGCCCUCCUCCACUGCACUCCCUGGCCACAGCAGAGAGCUGGCCUGGAAGAGGGGCAACCAGGACAGAACCGGCGCCCCGACCGGGACUAGAACCCGGUGUGCCGGCGCCGCAAGGCGGAGGAUUAGCCUAGUGAGCCGCGGC